This 365-nucleotide ribosomal RNA is filed under the name uncultured bacterium. RNAcentral's name for it is "partial 16S ribosomal RNA". It matches the Rfam family "Bacterial small subunit ribosomal RNA", at positions 338 to 721 of the family's 1533-position model. The record is from RNAcentral.
CCUACGGGCGGCAGCAGUAGGGAAUAUUGCUCAAUGGGGGCAACUCUGACGCAGCAACGCCGCGUGGAGGAUGAAGGUUUUCGGAUUGUAAACUUCUUUUGUUAGAGAAGAUAAUAACGGUAUCUAACGAAUAAGCACCGGCUAAUUACGUGCCAGCAGCCGCGGUAAUACGGAGGGGGCAGGCGUUACUAGGAAGCACUGGGGGGCAAGAGGGCGUAGGCGGGUGAGCAAGUCAGAUGUGAAAUCCUAUGGCUUAACCAUAGAACUGCAUUGAAAAUGUUAUUCUAGAGUAUGGGAGAGGUAGGUGGAAUUCUUGGUGUAGGGGUAAAAUCCGUAGAGAUUGAGAGGAAUACUCGUUGCGAAGG